UACGUAGGGUGCAAGCGUUAAUCGGAAUUACUGGGCGUAAAGCGCGCGCAGGCGGUCGUGUAAGACAGAUGUGAAAUCCCCGGGCUCAACCUGGGAACUGCAUUUGUGACUGCACGGCUAGAGUGCGUCAGAGGGGGGUGGAACUCCACGUGUAGCAGUGAAAUGCGUAGAGAUGUGGAAGAACACCGAUGGCGAAGGCAGCCCCCUGGGAUGACACUGACGCUCAUGCUCGAAAGCGUGGGGAGCAAACAGG
Molecule: ribosomal RNA, 253 nt
Filed under: uncultured bacterium
Lineage: Bacteria
Description: partial 16S ribosomal RNA
Rfam family: Bacterial small subunit ribosomal RNA
Source: RNAcentral